ACCAGUGUGAGGUGAGACAUGUAUCUGCACACUCUCUUGCUACAUCUAUGUAUCAGCAUUUCACUAACUGUAAGGCAAACUAUUGUCUUGUCCUUUUGUAUGUUUGUAUUGAUAUUAGAGACUCAUGUUUCGAACUUUUCUUAUGGCUUGCAUAUAUUUAAGAAACUUCCAGCUGGUUAGUUGACUGCACUUGACAAAAUAGAGAAGUGACAACGAAAACAUACGUUAUCAAGUAGCAUGGCACUGCAAUAUGAGACACCAACACAUACGUUCUCGCAGGUUUGUGAAAUUCAUCCAGAAAGAGAUGUAUUGGUAAAAUUCAAAGACCAAAGAUGGUAUCAAAUGCAUAGAGGCCUGGAAUGAAAGAAAGAUGAUACCCCCCGUUCCUAAAUACUUGUCGCUGUUUUAGUGCAAGAGGGAGUAUGUUCUUACAUUAAAUCACUGGUUAAAUAUUUGGAUCAAAUUUCCCCUUGUCACAACUUAUAUAAUCUUUUAGUUAAUUUGUUGAGGGAUUCGAGGGCAUUCUUUGGUCCAGUUUGUGCAAAUAAUUUCACAUGAGUUCUCUAUUUUCUUGCAGGAUUUUGAUGAGAUGAACAAGCAUAAGCUGAUCCAUCCAUCCCUUUGUAAUUUCUUCAGAUAGGAGCAACCAGCACCAAACCUACUUUGCCUUGUUCCAUCAGUGGCUGUUGUCAAAAAAUUCAGAGAGCUUGGAGGUGUUCACUAUUAUAUACUAAAAGUACACGAAGGAGCAACCACAAAAAAAUAGAGGGGCUAGAAAAUCUAAAAAAAAACAAAACAUCUGCCCGUUAAUUUGAUACGUACCUUAUAAAAUCACAGCCCUUAAAUUGAUGCUGAAAGAAUUACCCACCAAUGCCACUCGGAAUUAAUUUUCCUUCUAUCCCCUCACGCACAGGUCAUACCUUAGCCCCGAUCGAGGUCCCACGAUUAAUUCCGGCGGUUGCCCCGUCGGAUCCCGCGCCACC
RNAcentral lists this long non-coding RNA (983 nucleotides) under Brachypodium distachyon (stiff brome). RNAcentral describes it as "long non-coding RNA (BDIS_LNC005779)". The record is from RNAcentral. Lineage: Eukaryota; Viridiplantae; Streptophyta; Magnoliopsida; Poales; Poaceae.